Long non-coding RNA from Epinephelus moara (kelp grouper), 466 nucleotides. RefSeq lists it as uncharacterized. Lineage: Eukaryota; Metazoa; Chordata; Actinopteri; Perciformes; Serranidae. The record is from RefSeq and is a predicted model, not a curated record. The transcript is spliced from 3 exons.
CAGUCACAGAGGAGAAAUAAUUUGCAUGUGGUAUUGUAGCAAGUUGAACACAGUCAUGGUACCUCUUGGCCAGAGAGUAGGCCGACGUCACGGGCAGAGUGCGGGGGAGCUGCAGUGUUGCACGUUUGUUUUCAGUCUGUCUCUGUGUGUUUGCUGGGCAUGGCCUCCUGAUUCCUGCCUCCUGACGAUCCUCCUGAGUGCCAGCAGCUGGGACCUGCACACCUGAACCACAUCUACAAUCAAUCCACUGCAGCAGAAAACCCCUGCUCAGACAUCCAGACUCUGCCAGAUCGGUUCACCACACCAGCCCCAACCAUAACCUGCCACGUCUAGCCUUGUUCUUGUCUUCUGCUUCCGUAUUUGGUCUGCUCUGCCUUCAGCUAAUCUGCCUGCUCUGCUUCACCAGUCCCUGCCCAUCUCAGCCAUCAUUUUAUUCAAGCCUUCAGCUGCGCUUCUUCACACUACA